UCCCUGGUUGUCUAGUGGUAAGGAUUGAUUGCUCUCAUCGCGCUUACGGCCGGGUUCCAUUCCCGGUCAGGAAU
This is a non-coding RNA of Ameiurus melas (black bullhead), 74 nucleotides long. NCBI's taxonomy places the organism in Eukaryota, Metazoa, Chordata, Actinopteri, Siluriformes, Ictaluridae. The record is from the annotation of a GenBank genome assembly.